RNAcentral lists this microRNA precursor (106 nucleotides) under Dasypus novemcinctus (nine-banded armadillo). RNAcentral's name for it is "miRNA (ENSDNOG00000032426.1)". The record is from RNAcentral. Lineage: Eukaryota; Metazoa; Chordata; Mammalia; Cingulata; Dasypodidae.
GAAAAUGUACAUGCCUGGCUGCCAGCCAGACCCCCUGGAUCAGGCUCUCGGGAGGUGGGGCCCAGGAAUCUGCAUUUUCAGCAAGUUGCCUAGGUGAUUCUGAUGC